RNAcentral lists this ribosomal RNA (737 nucleotides) under Amanita rubescens. Its description in RNAcentral is "eukaryotic LSU rRNA". The stretch from base 321 to 474 matches the Rfam family "5.8S ribosomal RNA". Lineage: Eukaryota; Fungi; Basidiomycota; Agaricomycetes; Agaricales; Amanitaceae. The record is from RNAcentral.
CUUGGUCAUUUAGAGGAAGUAAAAGUCGUAACAAGGUUUCCGUAGGUGAACCUGCGGAAGGAUCAUUACUGAACGAAAUGGGUGGCAAGGCUGUCGCUGGCUCUAAUGAGCAUGUGCACGCCUUUUGCUGCUUGCUUCAUUCUCUUUUCCACCUGUGCACUCUUUGUAGACACUCGGGAUGGGGAGAGAGGUUGGCAUCGAAUGUUGGCCUCUCUUGAUAUUAAAAAGUCUGGGUGUCUAUGUGUUUUUUCACAUACACAAUUUGAAUGUCUAUAGAAUGAAAUUGUAGGCUUUUGUCAGCCUUUUAAAUGAUAAAAUACAACUUUCAACAACGGAUCUCUUGGCUCUCGCAUCGAUGAAGAACGCAGCGAAAUGCGAUAAGUAAUGUGAAUUGCAGAAUUCAGUGAAUCAUCGAAUCUUUGAACGCAUCUUGCGCUCCUUGGUAUUCCGAGGAGCAUGCCUGUUUGAGUGUCAUUAAAUAUCUCAAAAAACUUGUGCUUUUUUGGCAUGGGAUUUUUGGACAUUGGGAGUUGCCGGCUGCUGAUAAAGUGGUGGGCUCUUCUGAAAAGCAUUAGUUGAGGAGCUUUGCACUCUAUUGGUGUGAUAGACUAUCUAUGCCAGGAGAUGCUUCAUGAUCCUCUGCUGUCUAACUGUCUUUAUCAGACAAUAUGUGAUAAACUUGACCUCAAAUCAGGUAGGACUACCCGCUGAACUUAAGCAUAUCAAUAAGCGGAGGA